GACAAAUGUCUCAAAAAGAAUGUUUAUUAAUAUAAAUAAAAUUUAUUGAUACACUAAUAUUUUAAAAUUUAAUCGUUAAGUCAUACGUGUCAUGACAUAACAUUGCUUUAUAAGACAAUAUAUACAACCAUAACAUAUAUAUCCUAUCAGUACUUAUAAGCAUGUACAUCAGCCUAACAUAACCUAUAAGCAAGUACUAAUUACAUGUAAACACCAAUUUUCUCUAACUUCAAUUAUUUGACUUUCAUGAUAUUGUUGACAUCUGCAACUAGAAACUGCAAGGAAGAAAAAUAACAUAGAAUUAGUUCAUUAAAUAUUACUACAAAUUAAUUAUGACGAUAAAGAUAACUUUUAUUAGUUGGAAUUGUUCUUCUUUCACAGUAUGUAAUAAUUUCCUUCAUAUAUUGACACACAUAAUAUCCACAAUCAUUGCCGUUGGGUUGUCUUGGGCACUAGAAUUCCAAAAUAAAUAAGAAAACAUUUUUAUAAUUUGAACAUAAAAAAGAACCAAAACUUUAGUAUACUCCAAACAGAUUCAAUGCAUGAUAACAAAUAACUAUAUAUAAGUAUAAACAAUUAAUAAUAAGUUAUGCUUUCAUAACAACCAUAUACUCCUCCAACCAGUUUCACAAUAAUACAUGUUAUUUAACUAACCAUCAUCAUGCAACAAGGAAAUAAGUCUUCAACCAUUUAAGAAUACAAGUUAUUCACCUAACCAGUACAAUACAAACAGCCAUAACCACAUAAGGUCAUUCAACAAUUUAAUUAUCACAAUCAAGACUAUACUACACAAAACAUAUUAGAGUAAUGUACCUUAAUUGUUGUCCACUUGAUAUUGUUUGACUUAGACUUUGAAACCAUGUUUCUUAUUUAAGCUCGAUAGAUUUGUAUAACCCUAGUGAAUAAAUAAGAUUAAAACAUGUAUAAGUAAAAACAAUACAACUAAAAGUAUACAAAUGUCAACUAAAAGUACUCAAUAUAGUAUUAGCAAUAUAUAGAAACUAUUUGCAAUAACAAACUAUAAAAUAAUAUUCAUCCUACCUCAACUUUGAACACAUCAACUUUGAACACAACGUAUGUGGGAAAAAAGUUCACAACUGAAAUUUACAAAAAGAAUAACAAUGCAAUUAGUAAAGUAAUUAGUAAAAAUGGAAGGACUAGUUAAAUAAAACUACAAAACAUGCAUGGAAUCUAUUAAAAAAGCACAUUCAACCAUAUUUAUCUUGUGAACAGAAACCUAUAGUGGCAGGGAAUAUAUAUAUGUCAGAUUAACUUCUAAUAUGAUAUUAGAGUGUUUACAUGAUACUGGUUUUAAACUAUAUCUCUAAUUAAAUAAUUAGUUCGAAAUAGGCAAUAUUCAUAUAAUCACUAUAUGUGAUUUAAAUAAGGAAAACAAUUAGAUAAUUACUCCUUAAAAAAAAUAUUAAGAUUUAGGGAAUAUACAAAGUAGAGAUUAACUUAAUUCAUUAAUACUAUAUAUCUAUAUAGUCUGACUUCUAAUUAACAAUGAAGAACCUUAAUUCAUUAAUAAUAUAUAUAUAUAUAUAUGUAUACUUUUUUUCAAAUAUGUUAUAACCACGUUUUGCUAGUUGGUCCUGUUGCAAAUUAUGAACUCUUCACUUAUAUGGCUAUGAACAAUUGGGUCAGUGUUUGGCUAAAAGUAGCAUUGUUUAUGGAGAUACUUUUGGUAAGAACAUAGAAAAAGUGAGUAUAAAAACAAAUAUUCUAAUUUAUAACUUUGAGGUUCUGCUAUGGACAAAAAAAAUACAGGUGAAACUUUGUAAAGCGAUAUCCUGUACUUCAAAACAGCAAAGAGAAAUAUGCAUUGUCAUUAAAAAUACUCGCUGACAAAUGUAAAAAUUCUUCAAAAGAAUCAGCUCAAAUUUUUGUCAAUCAACUUUUCUAUCAAACCAACUUAGAUGUGUAACUAGUGUUUGUAAAACGUUCGUAAAAACUUCAAAAUUCCAUUUAAUGUAAAUUCACCAAAAACACUUCAUUGGAACUCUUAUAAAAUGACACCUUGAAACUAAAAGAAACAUUAAAAAACGUUUAGAUUUCGGUUAAUAAAUUAGGGUAGAUUAACCUCAACAGAAAAUAAAAUAAAAAAUACCAUUAAUUGGAAAUAUGUAUCAAUUAUAUUUUCGCAGAUUUCAAUGAGAACCAAAUUAAUUUAAAUGUUUCAACUAAAAUCCAAAUGAGAACCAAAUUAAUUUAAAACAUUAUUUAAACUGAAGCAAGGUACUCAAUCAGAUUAACGUCUGCACCCUUUAUCAAUUUGCUCCUAAGGCAGAAUUACACAUUCUACCCAUGUUCACAUACACCCUACAGUGUUCAGUUGCAACCUUGCAUCCAAUACGUGAUUGGCAAACAUUCACACUGAACAUAGGUGAAUGUGUUUGCAUCCUCUGGACUCAAUGUUAUAUAAUCAAAUUAUUUUCAAUAGGCAAUAUUAUUAAAUGUACGAGUAGUGGAAUGCAGUCAUGAGUAUUUUUAGUGUCAAAAGUAUUUGACACUGGCAUGGUGACUACGGAGUAAAAUAUCUGUAGUUCUGGAUCUUAGAGAAUACAUCUGUGACAAGAAAGAAGAUUAAAAAAAAAAAAAAAGAGAAAAUGUACUUUUUCUCAGGAGUUUCAUAUUUUGGGAACAUGUCAAAAGAUUAUAGAGGAUUAUGAUCCUACACUAAAAUCUCAGAACAGAGGUUGCUUGAGAGAAAUUGCUUCUUAAUUCUUAACACAACCCUUCCUAUUAAUACUAUUAGUGAUUGACUACAGAAGCUAAUCAAGAAAUAAUUCUAGAGCUAGUUAGAAGCUGUUAACCAGAGUCAUAAUAAAUAACAAUCUAAAUUAAAAUUCUUACAGCCCAAUCUAGUCAAUGUUGCUUUAAGCUUUUUUUGGUUGUUCAGAAGCCACACAAAACAAACAAUUCCUGACAGAUGUAAGAUGCUAUAAACAUACGAGGAAUAUAGUUUUUAUUAAGUGAUUGCAUUGGUCAGUACAUUCAUUCAACAAUAUAUACAUAUAGCAUAACCUGGCCUUAGCUUAUAACCCACUUUUCCAUCAGAGACUCGCCUAGUAAUCACUCAUAAACUUACUUUUACUCAAACUCAUUCCAGAAAACACAAGCAAAAACAAACCCUUCAGUCAUAUAUGAGUAAUAGACAUUUCUUUGCUUAUAAUUCAUUUUCAAUUUAAAAUAAAACGUUCCAAACAAUACAAUGUUCACGAAUCUCACAUAAUUUCAAAGUCUGUCAAGUAAUUACGCAAUCAGAAUUUACUCCAUUUACAAUACUUCUUGUUUUAGACCAAUACUCAACAUUUCACAAAUUAACAUUACUUCAGAGACAACCAACGGUUCCAGAUUUUAACAUUUUCUGUUUGAGAUCAACAAUACUGGACAAACAACAAUCACACCAUACCCUUUUAGAAAAACUUCAGAAUUAUAGAAACACCCAAUUCAACUCACUAUCAAAGUCGACAAAUAUUGUGUUUGAGCCCUUUACUAAUUAUUCCUUUUUUUAAAAAAAAAAAACAGAGCACUCAUCAUCUAUAAAUUUUCCAGAUUAUUUUCAUGUCAAUACCUCUAAAUUCCCAUUCUCUGGCCACAUUGCACUCGCUCUCUCAGUACCCCUCACUGACACUCGAAAACCACUUCUAAAACCUCAAAAGUGUUCGUCUCGCAAUUUCCGCCGUUCCCCGUUCUCUCAUUCGCAUUAUACCCUAAAACGUCGAAGGGAAGAAGAGAAGAGAAUGAAUGCAUCGUGAGCCCUCUACCCCCAACUCUACUCGAUUCGAACAGAGACAAGCACACAACAAUCAACCACUAAUCACAAACAAUCAAGUAUCAUACCCAUAAUCAACACACAAGAAAUACCUGGCCACCGCGAGCGACUUGCUCCACCAACGCAACACCGUCUCGCUCCACCACAGGUUUGGGACGAACGCGUCGCGUGAAACUUGGCGAAAAUCGGAGGUGAAAUUAGGGCACAAAUUGGAAGUGAAACUUGAGUGAAAAUGGGAAGUGAUACUAGGCGAAAAUCUCAAAUUCAGGGCAAACGGGAAAAAUGGGAAAAUUUGUUUUAGAGAAGCUCCACGAAAACUCAAAAAAUUCUCGUGCGAAAAAAAAGACUCAAGACUUACAUUUUUAUUUUUAAAUACUUAACAUGUAACGCUUAAAAAAAAAUGCUAUUUUAAUAAAAUAGAUAGUGUUUU
This 4208-nucleotide long non-coding RNA is filed under the name Vigna radiata. RNAcentral's name for it is "long non-coding RNA (VRAD_LNC013587)". The record is from RNAcentral. Lineage: Eukaryota; Viridiplantae; Streptophyta; Magnoliopsida; Fabales; Fabaceae.